GACGAACGCUGGCGGCGUGCUUAACACAUGCAAGUCGAACGGAAAGGCCCCUUUGGGGGUCCUCGAGUGGCGCACGGGUGAGUAACACGUGAGUAACCUGCCCUUGACUUCGGGAUAACUUCAGGAAACUGGGGCUAAUACCGGAUAGGAAUCCUUGCUGCAUGGUGGGGGUUGGAAAGCUUCGGCGGUUUUAGAUGGACUCGCGGCUUAUCAGCUUGUUGGUGGGGUAGUGGCUUACCAAGGCUUUGACGGGUAGCCGGCCUGAGAGGGCGACCGGCCACAUUGGGACUGAGAUACGGCCCAGACUCCUACGGGAGGCAGCGGUGGGGAAUAUUGCACAAUGGGCGGAAGCCUGAUGCAGCAACGCCGCGUGCGGGAUGACGGCCUUCGGGUUGUAAACCGCUUUCAGCAGGGGCGAAGCUUGUGGUGACGGUACCUGCAGAAGAAGCACCGGCUAACUACGUG
RNAcentral lists this ribosomal RNA (465 nucleotides) under uncultured bacterium. RNAcentral's name for it is "partial 16S ribosomal RNA". It matches the Rfam family "Bacterial small subunit ribosomal RNA", at positions 28 to 507 of the family's 1533-position model. The record is from RNAcentral.